RNAcentral lists this ribosomal RNA (301 nucleotides) under uncultured bacterium. Its description in RNAcentral is "partial 16S ribosomal RNA". It matches the Rfam family "Bacterial small subunit ribosomal RNA", at positions 509 to 807 of the family's 1533-position model. The record is from RNAcentral.
CAGUAGCCGCGGUAAGACGAACCGUGCGAACGUUAUUCGGAAUUACUGGGCUUAAAGCGCGUGUAGGCGGGUCGGCACGUCGGUCGCUGAAAUCCCCCGGCUCAACCGGGGAAGUGGCGCCGAUACGGCCGGCCUGGAGGGGGGUAGGGGGGCCUGGAACUUCCGGUGGAGCGGUGAAAUGCGUUGAGAUCGGAAGGAACGCCCGUGGCGAAAGCGAGGCCCUGGACCCUUUCUGACGCUGAGACGCGAAAGCCAGGGGAGCAAACAGGAUUAGAUACCCCGGUAGUCCCUGUCUCUUAUA